Thamnophis sirtalis is the source of this 379-nucleotide non-coding RNA. Lineage: Eukaryota; Metazoa; Chordata; Lepidosauria; Squamata; Natricidae. The record is from RefSeq and is a predicted model, not a curated record.
CUUCCUGUCUGAUGCAGAAUUUUUGGAUAUCUUUGGGAAGACAAAGGAUGCAUUCUACCAGAUGCCUGCAUGGAAGCAGCAAAAUGAGAAAAAGCAAUUUGGAUUGUUUUGAACAAAAGGACAGGUUAAAAAAAAUUGAUGGGACUUCGAUCGCUCAGUGGCUUACAUCAAUCUUGGCUGUUUUGACUUCCUGACUCAGAAAGAAGAUGGAUCUUGGAGGAAACUUUCCCUAACUUCAAAUGGACAAUUUAAAAAAAUAAAAUCUUCUUGAAAUCUGUAUGGUCAAUAAUAAUCUUAAUGAAAAUGAUUCCUCAGCUGGAAAAAACAGUACAAAAUUGUUCCAUUAUUUUCACAAGAAAUACAUGAAAGUUUCUCUCAA